This is a long non-coding RNA of Dioscorea cayenensis subsp. rotundata (Guinea yam), 2600 nucleotides long. RefSeq lists it as uncharacterized. NCBI's taxonomy places the organism in Eukaryota, Viridiplantae, Streptophyta, Magnoliopsida, Dioscoreales, Dioscoreaceae. The record is from RefSeq and is a predicted model, not a curated record. The transcript is spliced from 5 exons.
UCCCAGCAUCCACUCACUUCUGAAUUAUUAGUUCAUCCUUGGGAAUGAAGGAGAAUUAUUGAGAACCUUGAUCUUGUUUGUCUCCUGUUCAUCUUCCUCUCCGGAGAGGUGAUCUGAGUAGAGAUCUCCAGGUGUAGAAACCUCUGGUCUCUUGUUCUGCAUGUAUUUUGGUUAUUUGGUUUUUCUUAUGUGUUUGGAAUUGUAUGUUUUGGUAUUGAAGGAUCAGUGAAGAUCCAGUUUUGGUUUGCUUAACCUCUUGAAUGUUGGUAUUCUCCUAGACAAACCUGUAGAUCUGUGCAGGGAUUUGGGAGAGUUGCAACAGGCUCCCAGUGAACCACCCUUUGGGAAGAUCGAGCUAUAUUCGCCGAAGUUCUACGCGGCCUGCACCUUCGGUGGGAUCCUCAGCUGAUAUUCACCAUUUGGUUUUGACUUGCUGAUCCGUUGCUAGAGUUGGUUGUUUGUUGAUUUGAUGAUAGAUUUGUUCUGUUUUGGACCUGAACUUUUGAACAAUUUGUGGGCUCUUGAUUUUUAAUGGUUUAUGGUAGUAUUUGUCGAUCAUAUUCUUUGAUCUUAGUCAUCUGAGUUGCCUAUUCUUGCUUUUGAUCGAAUGAUAUGUGUGCUGGAUCUAUUUUGCUGAAAGAGAUGAAGGAUUCGUGCUGUAGAUCUGGUUUCUUCUUUGAUUUGAGGUUUCUUUGUAUUUGUUUAAUGGUUUUGACUGAUAUUUUGCUUUUCCUUACCGCAUAGGCCUUGGAUCUAAAAUAGAUGUGCUGGUUAGCUGUUGAUUUGCUGAUAUUUUGAAGGAAUGUUUGCUUAUUUGAAGAAUAUUUUUGGUUUUUUUAGAGUUCUAGUCAUUACUUAUUUUUUUUUUUACUGGUUUUUAUCUUAUGUAGGUCUGUUUCUUUUGUAUAUAUUUCUGAUAUUAUCAGCUGCUGGUUGCCCUGAUUUUCUUUCAUUCUUGUGAAUUUAUUGGUUCUUUAUCUUUUCAACUGAUUCCUUGUCAUGUUGAAUGAGUAUUACUGCCAAUUCUCUCUCUUUGUAUUAGCUGUAAUUGUGCGAAAACCUUUUAAAGGGAGAUUAUAUCAUGAAUUGGAGAGCAAAGGUUGGCAUAUAAAUCUGUAUUGUUCCCCAGCUCUUUUGAACACUGUCCUUAUUUCUAGCCAUUAUUUCAUGGAUCAUAGCUAUAUGCAUCCUUUGGCAGCUGAAUUGGGUCUUAUUUUUUUUGUUCUGUAUUUUCUCAAUUUAUUCUUGUCAUGUCUCCUUAAUUUGUACUUAUGGUUGUUUGACAAUUAUAACUUCAAAUAGUUGGUUGCUUUCAAUUUUGUCUUUUGAUGUCCUGAUAUUCUUGUGACCUAACUUUGGAGGGUUUUUUUUUUCCUUUUGUUCUUUCAGAGUUUUUUAUAUGGCAAAGAUGCUGAAUAUCUUCCUUCAAUCAAAUGUUCCAGACUUUGGAUGCUCCUUGUUUUUUAUAUGGCAAAGAUGCUAUGUGGUUUACUAAACCUUAUGGUUUUACUGCAAUUAUGCAGAUUGAUCCUGCAAAAUAUUAGAGCAUCUCUUUAGGAUUUGGAGUCCUGCUAAAAGAGCAGGGAGUAAGAGGUUACUUCAGCGGUUGGAAAUCCAGUUCUUGAGUUCUCCACAGACUUCAAUUCAAGAGCAGAGUACUUCUGGUCUCAUGGACUAAUUUCUGAUUCAACUAAUAAUCUCUUCACCUCUGCAUGCAAUUAUUCAAGUUAUGUCAGUGAGUAUUACAGAGGAAUGCUUUACUAUGUAUGUUACUUUCACAAUCUUUGGCACUGAAAAGAUGUCCAAGAUGCACUUCAUGCAAAGCUUAAUGGAGUUACAGAAUGGACAGUAUGCAGCAGUGUUCUUCAGUAUCAGCUUCUCAACUUGGAAAAACCGACAAUAACUGUUGUAGGUUCUCUGAUCAAAUAUGGAAUACCGGUUCUCAUUUACAGUAGAUAAAUCGGGCAAAGAACUUGGACUGAACACAACAGUGCCUUACUAAUGAUGUUGGCGAACCGAUGAGCUGGAUCAGAGCUUCCUCUGAACCAAAAUAGUAAGCAGCCAAAGCCUUGGCCAAUUCAGAUUUCCCUACACCAGUUGGACCAGAGAAUAUGAAGCCAGCAACUGGCCGAUUAGGAUUCUUAAGACCAACCCGGGCUCGGUGAAUGCAGAAGUACAAUUAUGUACCUGCAUCCAUCAGCAAGCUAUGGCCAUGGGAACAAACAAAAGCUGAACCUGCCAAGUGACCUUCAUCAUUACACUAACUAUGCCGAGAAGUUGUAUUGUUGUCAGAGAGGGAUAUCAAGAUCCACAACACUCUGAUCCACAUAGACCUGAUAAUUCAUAAAUAUAAAGUGAUACAACAUCCUUCCAGAAGCACUGGGAAUCAAGCAGUUAAAGCAGCUAAGGGGGUGUUUGGUUUGGAGUAGUGGAGUGGGAAUGACUCUUUACAUUGGGUAAGCAUUUAUUUGGAUGUGGAGUAAUGGGAGUGGGAGAUGAUUGAGGAAGGAGUGAAGGGGUUGUGGAGGGGUAUUCACAAUCAUGAGAAAAAUGGGGGGAUUCUUGAUUCCUUACUCAUGAAAUGACUAUAUUGCCCUUGU